RNAcentral lists this ribosomal RNA (463 nucleotides) under uncultured bacterium. Its description in RNAcentral is "bacterial SSU rRNA". It matches the Rfam family "Bacterial small subunit ribosomal RNA", at positions 33 to 507 of the family's 1533-position model. The record is from RNAcentral.
ACACGCUGGCGGCGUGCCUAACACAUGCAAGUCGAACGAGGUCCAUGAGAGCUUGCUCUCAGAAGACCUAGUGGCGAACGGGUGAGUAACACGUGAGAAACCUGCCUCGGAGUGGGGAAUAACUCGGGGAAACUCGAGCUAAUACCGCAUAUCUUCACAUGAUCGCAUGGUCGAGUGAAGAAAGAAUUUCGCUCUGAGAGGGUCUCGCGGCCUAUCAGCUUGUUGGUGGGUAACGGCCCACCAAGGCAACGACGGGUAGCUGGUUUGAGAGAACGAUCAGCCACACUGGGACUGAGACACGGCCCAGACUCCUACGGGAGGCAGCAGUGGGGAAUCUUGCGCAAUGGGCGAAAGCCUGACGCAGCAACGCCGCGUGCGGGAUGACGGCCUUCGUGGUUGUAAACCGCUUUCAGCAGGGACGAAAAUGACGGUACCUGCAGAAGAAGCCCCGGCUAACUACGUG